AGAGUUUGAUCCUGGCUCAGAAUGAACGCUGGCGGCGUGCCUAACACAUGCAAGUCGAGCGAGAAAGUUCCUUCGGGAAUGAGUACAGCGGCGGACGGGUGAGUAACACGUAAGAAUCUGCCCUAUAGUGAGGAAUACCCUCGAGAAAUUGAGGUUAAUACUGCAUAAGUCCCUGCGGGGAGAAAGGCGUCUUUUAUGUCGCCGCUAUAGGAUGAGCUUGCGGACUAUCAGCUUGUUGGUGAGGUAAAGGCUCACCAAGGCUAUGACGGUUAACCGGCCUGAGAGGGUGUACGGUCACAUAGGCACUGAGACACGGGCCUGACUCCUACGGGAGGCAGCAGUGGGGAAUAUUGCGCAAUGGGCGAAAGCCUGACGCAGCGACGCCGCGUGGAGGAUGAAGGUCUUCGGAUUGUAAACUCCUGUCAGAUGGAAAGAAAGGUCUGCGUUUAAUAGACGCGGAAUAUGACGGUACCAUCAGAGGAAGCACCGGCUAACUUCGUGCCAGCAGCCGCGGUAAUACGAAGGGUGCAAGCGUUAUUCGGAAUCACUGGGCGUAAAGGGUGUGUAGACGGUACAUUAAGUUCGUCGUUAAAGGCUCCGGCCUAACUGGAGUAUUGCGAUGAAAACUGGUGAGCUAGAGGGUGAGAGAGAGAAGUGGAAUUCCCGGAGUAGCGGUAAAAUGCGUGGAUCUCGGGAGGAACACCAAUGGCGAAGGCAGCUUCUUGGCUCAUUCCUGACGUUGAGGCACGAAAGCGUGGGGAGCAAACAGGAUUAGAUACCCUAGUAGUCC
RNAcentral lists this ribosomal RNA (790 nucleotides) under uncultured bacterium. RNAcentral's name for it is "bacterial SSU rRNA". It matches the Rfam family "Bacterial small subunit ribosomal RNA", at positions 8 to 796 of the family's 1533-position model. The record is from RNAcentral.